CUACUAUGUUUAAAAAUAUGUUGAACAAAAAAUUCUCUCUGUUAAAAAAAACAGUUGGGAAAUAUUUUUCGAACAAUUAAAAUUUCACGCUAAUAAUUUUCACUUCAACUUUUCUUACCAUCUCCAGCCACUCUCUGAAUCUGAGUCGCAUCGCCGUUGAAACUCUUCUGGCUCUGGGAGGUGGAGGACAUUUGUUUUCUGGGAGGUUGUUUGUGUCCGUUGCAUUUUGCAUGUGGGUUGCAUUUCUGUUGUGCUGCAGGACGAGAUGUCGAAACUUGUGGUGAAGAAGCAGGAGGUGAACAGGUCACAGCGCACCCAUUGACUACUGGAGAAGUGCCAUUGGGAAGACAGGGCUUCACUGAAAGGUUUGCCGGUGGCCUUUGGUUGUGUUGUGUGAACAGGACUGUCCUGCCCUCCGUCCUGCUGUUGGACAUCCAUGGCUUCUGUCUCCAUUUGAGACGCUUGACUCGAACUCUGAAAACACAUCCAGCAAGAGCUCAUAUGCAUGAAAUCAGCCUGGCUGUUUGUGGGGUAGAGGUCAUAAUGAAAACCUCUAACAUGGUGACUUUUAUCCUCUAAAACUCCAUGAGAAAGAAAAUCUGACUUAAAGUGCGCAAAACAUGCUCGUCUGCUGCUAGGAACUGGCCUGAAGUGGUUUGGGAAGUUGACUAAUAUGACUAACAUCCUGCUGAGUCAAACCAAAUUGACAAUAUCAUCAAAGCCCAGGAGUCAUAAUAAACAUUUUAGAUAGUUGUUUGCUGUUUUAAGGAUCUGCCCGUGUCUUACCUGUAGGGUUUUAUUGUUCUGUCUCCAGUUAAAAGCUUGUCCCC
Molecule: non-coding RNA, 830 nt
Organism: Danio rerio (zebrafish)
Lineage: Eukaryota; Metazoa; Chordata; Actinopteri; Cypriniformes; Danionidae
Source: Ensembl